GAUGAACGCUGGCGGUAUGCUUAACACAUGCAAGUCGAACGGUCACUUCGGUGAUAGUGGCGGACGGGUGAGUAACGCGUGGGAAUCUGUCUUCAGGUCGGGGACAACAGUUAGAAAUGACUGCUAAUACCGGAUGUGCCUUUGGGUGAAAGAUUUAUUGCCUGAAAAAGAGCUCGCGUCAGAUUAGCUAGUAGGUGGUGUAAGAGACUACCUAGGCUCCGAUCUGUAGCUGGUCUGAGAGGACGAUCAGCCACACUGGAACUGAGACACGGUCCAGACUCCUACGGGAGGCAGCAGUGGGGAAUUUUGCGCAAUGGGCGAAAGCCUGACGGAGCAAUACCGCGUGAGGGACGAAGGCUUUUGGGUCGUAAACCUCUUUUCUCAAGGAAGAUGAUGACGGUACUUGAGGAAUAAGCAUCGGCUAACUCUGUG
This 432-nucleotide ribosomal RNA is filed under the name uncultured bacterium. RNAcentral's name for it is "partial 16S ribosomal RNA". It matches the Rfam family "Bacterial small subunit ribosomal RNA", at positions 28 to 507 of the family's 1533-position model. The record is from RNAcentral.